UGCAGAUGCAUUUGGGUUGGGGUUCCUGGUGAUUAUUGCCUGUGCUGUUUUUCUUUGGAUGAGAACGAGUUAUAAUAAUCACUGUGAAUCUGGGCAUUCUGGAUGACAAGGGUUCUGCAAAUGAGUGUUGAUGGCGACAACAAAGAAUUGAAAGAACUGAAUCGACGCUUAUUUGAGAUGGGAAGAAGAUUGCUGGUGGGGAGAGUGGUUUAUGCGAGGAAGUGAAAUGUAAUGGAGUUGCUGAAGAAGUUAAGGUUGAACAAGGGGGGGACUGUGGAGUCCUCCUCUGUCCAGCAGCAUAUACCACAGUCUCAAGGGGUAAUAAUUUGUUGGGAGAGGUUUUUGCAUAUUAGAUCCCUUAAGGUCUUGCUUGUGGAGAUUGAUGACUCUACCCCGUCAUGUUGUCACUGCACAGAUUGCAAUUUUAGUUAUGAAGCUAUACAUACCAGUGCAUGCCCAAGAUGAUAGGUGUAUUUUUCAAGAGGUAAACAAUUGAGACUCCACCUCCAUUACCAACUUUUAAGGGUGGUUCAAAGUCAGGAGGAGAAAGCACUUAUUCAGGUCUUUCUAGCAAAACUGAGCAGGAAGCAAGAAUCUCCCAUAAGUAAAAAGGCAUAUUCUUCGGAUCAUCAUCAGGAUUUUGAUCAGCAACAUCUGCACCAUAGACAACAACUUCAACAGGAGAUGGCCAGGAAUGCCCCAAGAGCAGCCUCUUCACAGAAUCAAUCAGCAGGAAAAUCACCUCAAGAAAAGGUCUCACUCUCUUUGACGGUCUUUUCCUUUUAAGUUUUAUUUAUGUCUCACACAAGUAAUUUUUUCAAACACAAGUUUUUAUUCAAAGAUUAAAUGUGAACACUUCUCUCACUAUCAGUCUAAACAUUAAUUCACCAUAUUGUGCAAGACUAGUCUCUUCUAGUAGAAGCAUUUGAGUUGGGGUUCCUGGUGAUUAUUGCAUGUGCUAUUUUCUUUUAACUGCAUAUGUAGAGCUCUUUCACCUUUCCGUUAGCCCAAAAAUCGAAAGCUGGGAAUGCACGAAAUGCCAUAGAGUCUCAAAAAGCACCAAGAGCCGUUUCACCUUCCCGCUUCCCCAAAAAUGGUACCGGUCACAACAUGAAGCCUGAAAAUUGUCAAAGACCCAUGGAUGAUAGAAGCUUUGAGGCUAAAACUUGGCCAAGAAAUGACCAUGGAGGCACCUCGGAAAAACGAUUCUUUAUUUGACAGGUGUAGCUCUGAAAUUGGGAAAUUAACAACUUGUUAUGAUGAUUUCACGUUUUUUAUGCUAGUUGCUUAACUGCAAAUGUAGUGGAGCGGCUUUGGAAUUUUGCUUGGCCUUCUGCCAUUGCCUUGAUUCAUCCAAGCCUUUUGCCCGUUGUUGUGAUGGGUUUCUUCACCAAAGUGGCUAUAAUUGUUGGUUGUCCCUUGGUUGGCAAACUUAUGGACCAUUUUCCAAGACUGUCUGUAUAUAAACUAUAAAUUCAAGAGUGUUUGCAUAUAAUUGCUUAAAACUAGUAAUAUUACUAUAGUUUUUGUUA
RNA transcript from Glycine soja, 1532 nucleotides. RefSeq lists it as uncharacterized. NCBI's taxonomy places the organism in Eukaryota, Viridiplantae, Streptophyta, Magnoliopsida, Fabales, Fabaceae. The transcript has 5 exons. The record is from RefSeq and is a predicted model, not a curated record.